Molecule: ribosomal RNA, 408 nt
Filed under: uncultured bacterium
Lineage: Bacteria
Description: partial 16S ribosomal RNA
Rfam family: Bacterial small subunit ribosomal RNA
Source: RNAcentral
GACGAACGCUGGCGGCGUGCUUAACACAUGCAAGUCGAACGAAGUGGCGAACGGGUGAGUAACACGUGGGUAACCUGCCCUCCUUUUUGGGCUACGCCUUGGAAUCGCGGUCUAAUACCGAAUAAAGGGGGAUGGGCUCGCGGCCUAUCAGUGUGUUGGUGGGGUGAUGGCCUACCACGGCGGUGACGGGGAGAGGGCCUGAGAGGCUGAACUGCAACAUUGAGACGGUGCAACGGCCCAGGCGCCUACGGGGGGCAGCAUUGUGUGAUAUUGCACAAUGGGUGAAAGCGUGAUGCAGCGAGGCCGCGUGGGGGCUGAGGGCUGUAGGGUUGUAAACUUCUUGCGGUAUCGAACGGGUAGGUGGAGAAGAAGCGCCGGCUAACUACGUGCCAGCAGCCGCGGUAAUUC